UGGGGAAUAUUGGACAAUGGGCGCAAGCCUGAUCCAGCAAUGCCGCGUGUGUGAAGAAGGCCUUCGGGUUGUAAAGCACUUUUAUCAGGAGCGAAACGCUGUCGGCUAAUACCCGGCGGAACUGACGGUACCUGAGGAAUAAGCACCGGCUAACUUCGUGCCAGCAGCCGCGGUAAUACGAAGGGUGCAAGCGUUAAUCGGAAUUACUGGGCGUAAAGCGUGCGUAGGCGGUUUCUUAAGUCUGCUGUGAAAUCCCCGGGCUCAACCUGGGAAUGGCAGCGGAUACUGGGAGGCUAGAGUGUGUCAGAGGGUGGUGGAAUUCCCGGUGUAGCGGUGAAAUGCGUAGAGAUCGGGAGGAACAUCAGUGGCGAAGGCGGCCACCUGGGACAACACUGACGCUGAGGCACGAAAGCGUGGGGAGCAAACAGGAUUAGAUACCCUGGUAGUCCACGCCCUAAACGAUGCGAACUGGAUGUUGGUCUCAACUCGGAGAUCAGUGUCGAAGCUAACGCGUUAAGUUCGCCGCCUGGGGAGUACGGUCGCAAGACUGAAACUCAAAUGAAUUGAC
This 568-nucleotide ribosomal RNA is filed under the name uncultured bacterium. RNAcentral describes it as "partial 16S ribosomal RNA". It matches the Rfam family "Bacterial small subunit ribosomal RNA", at positions 355 to 914 of the family's 1533-position model. The record is from RNAcentral.